RNAcentral lists this long non-coding RNA (2353 nucleotides) under Marmota monax (woodchuck). Lineage: Eukaryota; Metazoa; Chordata; Mammalia; Rodentia; Sciuridae. The record is from RNAcentral.
CCGCGUGCAGGCUGCAUGCUUAGGAAGAAAGGCUUGGAGAGGUUGAGAGGCCUAUGGAGGGUAACACUGCCCUCUGGAAUUCUGACCACAGGAUCUUUUUCCUUCUGCCAGAGAUGGCCUAUUUAGGUUCUUCCUGAUGCCCUCAAGACAUUUCCCAGCAGGUUCCCCCAGCUGUUUCCCGCAGAGACACCACCUUCCAUCUCUCUCUGUGCUUCCAUGGCAGGGGCCCUCCCACUCAGUGGGACUGUGCACAGUGACAGGGAAGAAACGCCUGAGGUUUUUCAGUCUGUCCCUUGCUCCUCACUCCUCCCCCCCAGGCUGGAAAAAUGGUUGAGUAUUCCCACCCCGAAAAGUACAAGAGGAAAUGCACCCCAGCCUUGCUCCAGGUCUUCCCUCUCCCCAGCCAAACCCCUGUCCCACUUGGGAUGGAAUUUUCCACCCUUGUUGAGGGGAGCAGAAGGGCAGAAGCGAGGUAAACAGAACCCCCCACCUCCCGAGUGAGAAGGGCUGGCCCAGGGAGUCGGCCGUGACUCUCACUGGAUAGUGAUCACAUUUACUCAGGUUCAAGGGCCACUCAAAGCAGUGCCCCCAAGGCUCUGCUGUGGGUCAUUUCUAGUCACUCUUGCAUGUCCACCACAUCAUCUGUCGUCCAACGUGAUCCAUUCCUCGUCUCUACCUCCCUCCUCUGCUUCUCCCUCAGUUCAGACCCGACUGUCCUGACCCACACUGUUGGGUUUUGUUACAUGGUUUUCCCACAAGCAUAUCCAGUGUCCUCAACUUCUCAGUCAGUUCCUGCUUCUGAUUUCUUAUCCGCGCAAACGGCACUCCCUGCGCUAAGAGCUCAAGCCACAAACCUGGUAUCCGUUGGCCUUAAUUUCUCCAUUUCCCCUGUAUCAGCUACCAACUGUUUGGUAACAAGUCAACGUGACGUGAGUGGUUUAAACCAAAUUGCUCCUUAUUUCUCACGGAUCUUCUGGUUUCAGGGCUUGCUCAUGUGGCUCCCUUGAGCAGGGAGUUGUCUGGAAGGUCUGACUGGUUCUUUCAGGCGCCACCCAGAAACAGUGCCUAGACGCUCACGGUGUAUUAGCCAGAGUCAGCCCCACGAGCACACCCCAGAGGCUCAGGAAGUGCAGUUUCACAAGCCGGGUCAGAGGAGCCCCAGAUAUGGGUGGCAGGUGAAUCUCCCGUGGUUCCCCAUGCCUUGUCUUGGCCACCCAUCUUCCAUCCUGUCCCACACAAACCAGCCCCAUUCUCUUGCCCACUGACCUUCGAUGGCUCCCAUGGCCCCAGGAAAGAGUCUGCUUUCCAUCAUGAUGUUCAGUGGUCUUCAUGAGUCAUUCCAGCUUCACGUCUCGCACAGGCCUGGUGAACACUGAGCCCCGCCCGCUGGACCGCCGGCCUUCCCAGGCCUCUAGUCAUUCCUGUCUGUUGCUCAUGCGGGCCUGUCUGCCAGGAGUGUCCAACCCGGGCGGGUGUCGCUCAUCCAGCAUUGUCCAGUCCUCCGUGACUCGGGUCUCAGCAGCCUCUCCUCACGCGCGCCGUUCCUGGCCUGUGCAAUCGACUGCUUUCCCUUUUCCUGAAUACAGUGUGUUCCAAAAGCCUGGGCAUACUUUUCUAUCCUGAUAACUUCCAAAGUAUGACUGCUAGGAACACAAAAACCAGCACUUGGAAUUUCGUGCAAAUUUCCUUUACACUUACUUAGGUUCAUGAAUUUGAAACACUAAAUUUAAAUUAUUUUAUGAAUUUCAGUCCCUUUGGUUUUGAAGUAGUCCCCCAAAGACCUUUACCAUAAUCAAGCUUCUCCAGGAACCAUGAUUAAACUUCUUGUCAGCAAGAUCUUCACAAAGAAUGUCAGCAGGAUUUCUGCAGAGAGCAUUGUGAUUUGUUGUUUCUUUUCUUUUUUCUUCUUCUUUUUUUUUUUUUGGUAAAUGCCAGAUUUGCAGACAAAAGUCAUGAUAGACUGUCUCAGGGGAGUUUGCUGUGCAAAAGUCGCCGUCUCUUUUUCCAUGGUAAAAACGUAUGAAACCUCUGUCAGACCUAAAAUAUGGGACAAAGAGUAACUGUUCUGUGCCCACCCACUGUCGUACACCCACCCCAUGAGCAUACAUCUGAAAGAAUCAACAGAUUCAGGGUUCAGAGAUGAGCCCCUCUGGAACAUCACAGCUUAAGUAAACCUCUUUCCUGAAAGAUUUCUCAGGUGUGCAGCCUCAUCUCUCCUAAUCACUGUAAGAUGGUGAAUAAGACUGAAACAACAAAUGUAUCUUCAUUGUUCUAAGUUUACAAACGACAUGUGAAAGACUUAAAUUGAAAAAUGAUUUUAAAAAAGUUAGAAAAUGAUAGAGAGUAAAACGUG